GCUGUGUUUUACUGCUGGUCGGGACCUAUUGCAGAGGUGGGUUUCGUUCCAAUCCGUUUUCCGGCCCUCGUGCCCUCUCCUUGUUAGUUGGGCUAUACAAUUCACAGUAUUGGCUAUUGCUGCAUGCUACAUUUUUUUACAGGCAUUCCAGGAGCUGAGUGCCUACAAACUGAGAUACAAGAUUAUAAAAUUUUGCAAUUAAAAAAUAUUGAUUAUCAGAAGAUUAAGAUUAGUCAGGAAAAUGUGUCUUCAUAUCUUCUGCUUAGCUUUCUUCCAUUUCUAUAUUCUAACUGGGCAUUUUCUUGGAUGCCCAAGCCCAACUUUAUGAUUUUUUCCAUUAUUUUUAAAGCUUAAUUAGAAUUUUAAAUGACAAACUAUAUUUGACAUGUUACAAUUUUAAAUGGCAUAUAUACACUAAUUGCAAAAUUAUAAAACUGGAUGUAAUAUUUUUGAUAAAAACCCUAACAAACUUUCCUCAUUUACAGUGGAUCUAUUUGGACUUAGAAAGAAUCAUUUUAUCAUAUGAUAAAGUAACCAAAAAUUAUAAAAUAAAAAAUUAUAUGUAGUUUUGUCUGCAGGUAGAUAUAGCUGGUUUUGAAACCAAACAGAUUUCAAAACCAGCUAUCAGUGACAGACCUAUAGUUAUCGCAGCCCAGGGUGGAAGUCUCCCUGGGGCCUUCCUAAUUGGAAUGAUCACCAUACAAAAUGUCAACAUAAAUAUAUAAUUAACAUUUAUUUAAUCAAAAUGAUUUCAAAAACAAAAAAUCUUAAGACUAAAGAAAAAAU
RNAcentral lists this long non-coding RNA (786 nucleotides) under Androctonus crassicauda. Lineage: Eukaryota; Metazoa; Arthropoda; Arachnida; Scorpiones; Buthidae. The record is from RNAcentral.